RNAcentral lists this long non-coding RNA (263 nucleotides) under Homo sapiens (human). Its description in RNAcentral is "HSALNT0352346". The record is from RNAcentral. Lineage: Eukaryota; Metazoa; Chordata; Mammalia; Primates; Hominidae.
AGCCAGCUGGAAAUACAACAAAACGCCUCUCCCGCUCCUUUAGCAAAACAUGUGUCAGAGCAACGCAAGAUUUGAUUGGGACUGCUUUACUUCGUUAACAAUUACAUCUCCAAAGGUAACAUCAGGGGCCAGAACAGAGACACAGAAAUGUUCCUUAAAAUGUCAAAAUGAAAUAUUGUCUAUUAAAACAGAAGAAUUAAAAUAAACAAGAGAAGUUGGGCAUUGGUCAUCUGAUGGUUGUAACCUCCAGCUUUCCCAGGAAA